Molecule: ribosomal RNA, 301 nt
Filed under: uncultured bacterium
Lineage: Bacteria
Description: partial 16S ribosomal RNA
Rfam family: Bacterial small subunit ribosomal RNA
Source: RNAcentral
CAGUCGCCGCGGGAAUACGGAGGGUGCAAGCGUUAUCCGGAUUUAUUGGGUUUAAAGGGUCCGUAGGCGGAUCUGUAAGUCAGUGGUGAAAUCUCACAGCUUAACUGUGAAACUGCCAUUGAUACUGCAGGUCUUGAGUAAAUUUGAAGUGGCUGAAAUAAGUAGUGUAGCGGUGAAAUGCAUAGAUAUUACUUAGAACACCAAUUGCGAAGGCAGGUCACUAAGAUUUAACUGACGCUGAUGGACGAAAGCGUGGGGAGCGAACAGGAUUAGAUACCCGAGUAGUCCCUGUCUCUUAUAC